RNAcentral lists this ribosomal RNA (719 nucleotides) under uncultured bacterium. RNAcentral's name for it is "bacterial SSU rRNA". The stretch from base 1 to 633 matches the Rfam family "Bacterial small subunit ribosomal RNA", at positions 232 to 873 of the family's 1533-position model. The record is from RNAcentral.
CGCGGCCUAUCAGCUUGUUGGUGAGGUAAUGGCUCACCAAGGCGACGACGGGUAGCCGGCCUGAGAGGGUGACCGGCCACACUGGGACUGAGACACGGCCCAGACUCCUACGGGAGGCAGCAGUGGGGAAUAUUGCACAAUGGGCGAAAGCCUGAUGCAGCGACGCCGCGUGAGGGAUGACGGCCUUCGGGUUGUAAACCUCUUUCAGUAGGGAAGAAGCGAAAGUGACGGUACCUGCAGAAGAAGCGCCGGCUAACUACGUGCCAGCAGCCGCGGUAAUACGUAGGGCGCAAGCGUUAUCCGGAUCUAUUGGGCGUAAAGAGCUCGUAGGCGGUUUGUCGCGUCUGCCGUGAAAGUCCGAGGCUCAACCUCGGAUCUGCGGUGGGUACGGGCAGACUAGAGUGAUGUAGGGGAAACUGGAAUUCCUGGUGUAGCGGUGAAAUGCCCAGAUAUCAGGAGGAACACCGAUGGCGAAGGCAGGUCUCUGGGCAUUUACUGACGCUGAAGAACGAAAGCAUGGGGAGCGAACAGGAUUAAAUACCCCUGGUAGUCCAUGCCGUNAACGUUUGGGCACUAGGUGUGGGGGACAUUCCACGUUUUCCCCCCCGUAACUAACGCAUUAAGUGCCCCCCCCCUGGGGAAUACNAAAGGGCAAUUUCCAGCCNCCCUGGCGGCCNGNUUACUAAUGGGAUCCCAACCUCCGGUACCCAAGCUUUGGC